This 1311-nucleotide long non-coding RNA is filed under the name Olea europaea (common olive). Its description in RNAcentral is "long non-coding RNA (OEUR_LNC002121)". The record is from RNAcentral. Lineage: Eukaryota; Viridiplantae; Streptophyta; Magnoliopsida; Lamiales; Oleaceae.
GCAAGCAAAAUUCUAACAAACCCACUUCCAACAUCUACAUUAUAAAAGAAAAGCCGCUGGUGACUUAGUAAAGAUGAGCGCCGAGUGAGCUUGAGCUCGUUUGCAGCCGAAGAACUUCAAGCAUGUGCCGACCGAAGGUUGCUUUCUCCCUUCUGGGACUCGAAAUGGGUGGAGAUGGAAGUUAAAAAAUUUGGAAAAAAAUGGGUGGAAAUAGAGAUUUCAAUUGAGCCGGCUGAAGGAAAUUUUCUCCCUUUCGUUGAAAUUUCAAUUGAGCCAGCCGGAGGAAAUUUUCUCCCUUUCGUUUCUGUACUUUGGGGAAGUGGGUGGAGAGAGAGAGAGAGAGAGCUUUGUUCUAUGAAUUAAUCAAUUUCCCUCCAUUUUGCAUUUGGUGGCUUUAUUCACCUUUUAAUGAAUUAAAUAAUGUACAGUGAUCAUUUUUCAAAUCCCUGUAUCUAUUCUGUCAAUAACCCUGUCCACCUAGCAUAAUUGUAAAUUAAUUUCCCUUAAUUGUCACUCACUAUUAGCAGAUAGAUAGAUAGAUUUUAUUCUAAAAAUACGAGAUUAAGAAGCUACUUUAAGCCAAAACUUGAAACUUACAUUAAUCAGAAUCAACAAGAACACCAUCCAAGAGGGGCAUACCCCUUCUCACCAAUGAAAUCAAGAGGACGAUGGAGUUUAUUUACAGUACUUUCAGAAUGAAAAUCCUCGUGAGAAACAGAGGAAGGAGAAAUGACAAAAAGAGAGAGGCAUUUGAGAACAUAUCUCAAUAAUUUGAGGGUCGUUAAAGUAAAUAGCCGCAGAUGAAUCCAUCUUCGGACUUCAAAAGCUAUUGCAGUGAAAUUCAGAUCUCGCACUGUAACACCAUAAAACCAUCUCCAUUUGUUGAGUGAUGCAGGAUUCUGAUUGUUCAUCCCUUCAAAUAUAUUUGCUUAUAAUGCCAACAAUCAGCGCAUAGAAAUAGCUGCAGAUGAAUCCAUAUCUUCGGACUUCAAGAGCUAUUGCAGUGAAAUCCAGAUCUCGCAUUGUAACACCAUAAAACCAUAUCCAUUUGUUGAGUGAUGCAGGAGCCUGAUUGUUCAUCCUUUCAAAUAUAUUUGCUUAUAAUGCCAACAAUCAGGGCAUACCCGAUUUGCGGCAUUCAUGUCCUACUUUUGGCUGCAAACACAAGGCUAACUGAUUAAACGUAAGCAAAGGGCUUCAAUUCUUACAAUGGCUAUAGUUCGCCGAACUUGUGGCGAAAUCUCAUUAGGUACUAGUCGCGUGUACAAGUAUAGUGAUCUAAACUAGAAUUUGCUAUAGGUUCAAUACUGU